GAAGUGGAGAAAUUGCUGUAAAACCAAUUUUUAAUGUUUCCGUUUACUUUCCGUAUUACAAAUGACAUCACAUGACUGAUCACAUGACCAUACAAGUUUAAAAUGGAGAAAAAGUUGCUUGAUGGUGUUGCUACUUAAAACUCUAGUUCCAUCAUUGUUUAGGAUAAAGACAAAGCCAUCAAGCCAACUAAGGAAGAGCCAGUUACCAUUCCAGUUAUGGUGUGCGUUCCCUCUUAGCCUCUGAGAACAAAGGACAUAGUGCUACAGACCUAGAAAAGCAAAGACAAAACAUUUAAAACAGUUUCUU
Amphimedon queenslandica is the source of this 307-nucleotide long non-coding RNA. RefSeq lists it as uncharacterized. The transcript has 3 exons. The record is from RefSeq and is a predicted model, not a curated record. Lineage: Eukaryota; Metazoa; Porifera; Demospongiae; Haplosclerida; Niphatidae.